Long non-coding RNA from Halichondria panicea, 374 nucleotides. RefSeq lists it as uncharacterized. The record is from RefSeq and is a predicted model, not a curated record. Lineage: Eukaryota; Metazoa; Porifera; Demospongiae; Suberitida; Halichondriidae. The transcript has 3 exons.
CACUCCUGAUACUAUGUACAUGUACAUGUAUGUCUUGUGUCAUGUAUGUCUUGUGUACAUGUAGAACAACGAGCUGAUGUACACUCGAACACUUCAAUGUUGCGCACAAUUCAACCACUACUCUCUAAGGCCUGGCUUACUGAUGAAGUAAUGACCAACUAUGCUAAACUGGUGGCACACACAGCUAAAACAAGUGGAAAGAACGUAGUUGUGCUAAGCUCUCAAUUCUUCUCAAAGCUGACUGUUUCAGGUUACCUAGGAGUAAAAAAUUGGUACCGAAAGGUAAUUUUUAAAGACUCUUAAAGUAUGACAAUAAUAGAAAGUUGCAGGUAAAUUUUCUCCAACAAGACCUAUUUUUGUGUAUUAUAAACAAG